UUGGGGUCGGGUCCUAAUGGUACAGUCGACGCAAUGAUUAAAGACUUGGCCGAUACUGGAACUUCAUCACUUGGUUUCGAAUAAUCUUGUCUGGGCUCUUCUCUUCUGGCGAUGGGCUGUUUAGAUUUCUUCGGCGUGAGAGACUGAUCUCUGGUUCGAUUUGUUUUUCUAGAAUUAGGUUGGCAAGAUACGUCUCGGGUUCGAGAAGG
Molecule: unclassified non-coding RNA, 209 nt
Filed under: Hevea brasiliensis (rubber tree)
Lineage: Eukaryota; Viridiplantae; Streptophyta; Magnoliopsida; Malpighiales; Euphorbiaceae
Source: RNAcentral